UCCAGCGCGGCGUGAACCGCAGGCUGCCUGCUUGGUCCUGCGCCGCACGGGCGCCGCCCUCGUCCUCCAGCUACACCGUCGCCUCCAUCCUGUUCCUGGGCGUGGACGUAGCCCCGGGCUCAUCGGCGGCACCGCAAGGAGCCUCGCAGGCGGCCACGAGAGCCUGCUCAGUCAGGAGUGGAGCCAGCGGACGGAGCAGCGGAACAACCAGCGCGGGGAGAAGAGGCGGGCCAUGGGGGCAGAGGCGACGAUUGCUGGAAGACGACGACACCGCCGGCAAAAUCCAUCGUGGGCGCCCAUCCAUGGACCGAUUGCUUCAGCCUCGACCUCCGCCUCCGCACCAGGGAACCUCCCCCACCCCUCAGGCGGAGCCCUAGUUGACUGCACAACGGCUCGCCGUCGACGCAAAUAAGCCACCGUCGCAGCCAUGGCCGGCCCUCAUGCUCUGAUUGAUUCAAGUUCUGGAGAUGAGAGUGCCAACAGUUGACUGUAUCAUCAGGCGUGGAGGGCAAACAAAUCCGAUCUGUGAGUUGUGUCAAGCAAGGGAUGAAUCGACAAUACACCUUAUGGCCAAGUGCUCGUAUGGAGAAAAAGUGUGGAACAUGGCGGUGGCAUGAAUCAACCAGUGAUCCCCCAACUUAAUGAUGUGCUUAGAAUGGUGGGCUGGAACAACUGCUGCAAACAACAUACAAUCACACUUGCAAGUCAUCAUAUACACAACGUAGAAUCUACGGAAGGAGCGUUGUCGGGGGCUCCUCGAAAACAGGACACAGAGGCCCUCAUAGUUCCAGAGGUCAUCAUGCCAGACCUACAGAACUUCAGUUUAGUUCACUUGGACCAGGAGUAAUCGGCUAUCGUUAUACAUAUGCAUAAUCUUCUUUUCUUUCACUUACUCAAAUUGUAAAUAUUUUGCUUCCUACUAUAAUGAAUGGGUAGAUCACCUGCUAUUUUCCUAAAAAAAACUUCUGAUAAAGAUGUUGCUACUGCCUAUUAUGUGAUUCUGAUAUCAUAUCUUUGUCCUGUUUA
Molecule: long non-coding RNA, 1026 nt
Organism: Panicum virgatum (switchgrass)
Lineage: Eukaryota; Viridiplantae; Streptophyta; Magnoliopsida; Poales; Poaceae
Exons: 2
Source: RefSeq, a predicted model, not a curated record